UACGGGGGGAGCAAGCGUUGUUCGGAUUUACUGGGCGUAAAGGGCGCGUAGGCGGCCACCGCAAGUCGACUGUGAAAUCUCCGGGCUUAACCCGGAAAGGUCAGCCGAUACUGCGGGGCUAGAGUGCAGAAGGGGCAACUGGAAUUCUCGGUGUAGCGGUGAAAUGCGUAGAUAUCGGGAGGAAUACCAGUGGCGAAGGCGGCUUCUUGGCCUGUUCUUGACGCUGAGGCGCGAAAGCUGGGGGAGCAAACGGG
This 254-nucleotide ribosomal RNA is filed under the name uncultured bacterium. RNAcentral describes it as "partial 16S ribosomal RNA". It matches the Rfam family "Bacterial small subunit ribosomal RNA", at positions 524 to 776 of the family's 1533-position model. The record is from RNAcentral.